This 207-nucleotide ribosomal RNA is filed under the name uncultured bacterium. RNAcentral describes it as "partial 16S ribosomal RNA". It matches the Rfam family "Bacterial small subunit ribosomal RNA", at positions 568 to 774 of the family's 1533-position model. The record is from RNAcentral.
CGCGUAGGCGGUUCGGUAAGUUGCUGGUGAAAUCCCGGGGCUCAACUCCGGGGCUGCCGGCACGACUGCCGGACUUGAGCACGGUAGGGGCAGAUGGAAUUCCCGGUGUAGCGGUGGAAUGCGUAGAGAUCGGGAAGAAUACCAGUGGCGAAGGCGUUCUGCUGGGCCGUUGCUGACGCUGAGGCGCGACAGCGUGGGGAGCAAACA